GACGAACGCUGGCGGCGUGCUUAACACAUGCAAGUCGAACGGUAAGGCCCUUCGGGGUACACGAGUGGCGAACGGGUGAGUAACACGUGGGUGAUCUGCCCUGCACUUCGGGAUAAGCCUGGGAAACUGGGUCUAAUACCGGAUAGGACUCCUGCCUGCAUGGGUGGGGGUGGAAAGCUUUUGUGGUGUGGGAUGGGCCCGCGGCCUAUCAGCUUGUUGGUGGGGUGAUGGCCUACCAAGGCGACGACGGGUAGCCGGCCUGAGAGGGUGACCGGCCACACUGGGACUGAGAUACGGCCCAGACUCCUACGGGAGGCAGCAGUGGGGAAUAUUGCACAAUGGGCGCAGGCCUGAUGCAGCGACGCCGCGUGAGGGAUGACGGCCUUCGGGUUGUAAACCUCUUUCAGCACAGACGAAGCGCAAGUGACGGUAUGUGCAGAAGAAGGACCGGCCAACUACGUGCCAGCCGCCGCGGUAA
This 478-nucleotide ribosomal RNA is filed under the name uncultured bacterium. RNAcentral's name for it is "partial 16S ribosomal RNA". It matches the Rfam family "Bacterial small subunit ribosomal RNA", at positions 28 to 523 of the family's 1533-position model. The record is from RNAcentral.